Molecule: non-coding RNA, 550 nt
Organism: Rattus norvegicus (Norway rat)
Lineage: Eukaryota; Metazoa; Chordata; Mammalia; Rodentia; Muridae
Source: RefSeq, a predicted model, not a curated record
AACCUGGUUGUUCCUGUGAACCGCACCUCCCAGCUUUAAUACCCUGUUACUUCUUGGGCUCCUGGACUUAGAUUCCAAGUGUAGAAAAAGGGGAACUUCCAGCACAUGUUGUGCUCUUGAGGACACAAUGGAAGUUUAGCGAAACCGGUGGCUCUACAUUGGGGACUUAGUUCCAUACCCAGAAGAAAUAAACCAGCGCAUCCUUCUUUAAUCUAACAAGAGAUCCUAUGUGAUAUCCACAGAAAAGAGGAAGUUUGACCUCUAGAAGGCGCUGCUUGGAGACACCUGACAACAGAGAGUCUAUAAAGUUUUUGGAUGGCAGUCGCCUCAAUACCAAGAUGUUGGCAAAACUAACUGACUGGAUUGUCUCACCCUGUUGCUUCCCCAACAUGUGAGGGAGAUUGUGUUUAGGAACAGCUUUUAAGAGCUAAGGAUAGUAUAUUGAACAUAACCAACCUGUCCCACUAACUAGAAAAUUCCUGGAAGGUGGUCACAGCCAAAGUUGUGGAGAAAGUUCUCUUCAUAUUAAAGGAAAGUUUUGUUUCCCCUA